RNAcentral lists this ribosomal RNA (443 nucleotides) under uncultured prokaryote. RNAcentral describes it as "bacterial SSU rRNA". It matches the Rfam family "Bacterial small subunit ribosomal RNA", at positions 355 to 796 of the family's 1533-position model. The record is from RNAcentral.
UAGGGAAUAUUGGUCAAUGGGCGAGAGCCUGAGCCAGCCAUGCCGCGUGCAGGACGACGGCCUUCUGGGUUGUAAACUGCUUUUAUACAGGAAUAAAAUGGCGUUGCGGCGCAGAUUGCAUGUACUGUAUGAAUAAGCACCGGCUAACUCCGUGCCAGCAGCCGCGGUAAUACGGAGGGUGCGAGCGUUGUCCGGAUUUAUUGGGUUUAAAGGGUACGUAGGCGGAAGGCUAAGUCCGAGGUGAAAGCCCCCAGCUCAACUGGGGAGGUGCCUUGGAUACUGGUCAUCUUGAGUGCCGUAGAGGUAGGCGGAAUUCAUGGUGUAGCGGUGAAAUGCAUAGAUACCAUGAGGAACACCGAUAGGGAAGCCAGCUUACUAGACGGUUACUGACGCUGAGGUACGAAAGCGUGGGGAGCGAACAGGAUUAGAUACCCCCGUAGUCC